CGGAUUCAUUGGGCGUAAAGGGUGCGUAGGUGGCGUCGUAAGUCGGGGGUGAAAUUUCGGAGCUUAACUCCGAAACUGCAUUCGAUACUGCGGUGCUUGAGGACUGGAGAGGAGACUGGAAUUCACGGUGUAGCAGUGAAAUGCGUAGAUAUCGUGAGGAAGACCAGUGGCGAAGGCGGAUCUCUGGACAGUUCCUGACGCUGAGGCGCGAAGGCCAGGGGAGCAAACGGG
Molecule: ribosomal RNA, 231 nt
Filed under: uncultured bacterium
Lineage: Bacteria
Description: partial 16S ribosomal RNA
Rfam family: Bacterial small subunit ribosomal RNA
Source: RNAcentral